GUGCUCACCUUGGCAGCACAUAUAUUAAAAUUGGAACGAUACAGAGAAGAUUAGCAAGGCCCUUGCACAAGGAUGACAUGCAAAUUCGUGAAGUGUUUCAUAUUUUU
This is a small nuclear RNA of Cebus imitator (Panamanian white-faced capuchin), 107 nucleotides long. Lineage: Eukaryota; Metazoa; Chordata; Mammalia; Primates; Cebidae. The record is from Ensembl.